GAUGAACGCAGCGGAAGGCCUAAUACAUGCAAGUCGAGGGGUAACAGGGGAGCUUGCUCCCGCUGACGACCGGCGCACGGGUGAGUAACGCGUACGUAACCUACCUUCAAGAGAGGGAUAGCCCCGGGAAACUGGGAUUAAUACCUCAUGGUAUCAUAAAGCCGCAUGGUUUAAUGAUUAAAGCUCCGGCGCUUGAAGAUGGGCGUGCGUUCUAUUAGAUAGUUGGUGAGGUAACGGCUCACCAAGUCAGCGAUAGAUAGGGGGCGUGAGAGCGUGGUCCCCCACACGGGUACUGAGACACGGACCCGACUCCUACGGGAGGCAGCAGUAAGGAAUAUUGGACAAUGGGCGCAAGCCUGAUCCAGCCAUUCCGCGUGUAGGAUGACGGCCCUCUGGGUUGUAAACUACUUUUAUUUGGGAAGAAACCCUGGGAUUUAUCCCGGGCUGACGGUACCAAAAGAAUAAGCACCGGCUAAUUCCGUG
This 483-nucleotide ribosomal RNA is filed under the name uncultured bacterium. RNAcentral's name for it is "bacterial SSU rRNA". It matches the Rfam family "Bacterial small subunit ribosomal RNA", at positions 28 to 507 of the family's 1533-position model. The record is from RNAcentral.